This is a long non-coding RNA of Rhincodon typus (whale shark), 270 nucleotides long. RefSeq lists it as uncharacterized. NCBI's taxonomy places the organism in Eukaryota, Metazoa, Chordata, Chondrichthyes, Orectolobiformes, Rhincodontidae. The transcript has 3 exons. The record is from RefSeq and is a predicted model, not a curated record.
GCAGACGGGAAAGUCUUGGCCGUGUUGCUGGGGGGGGGAAAUCAUCUGCAGAUCAGAGAAGGUAUGAGGAGCUGGGUCUUCUCCGCUCAGUUGAGGCUGAGGGCUCUUUCGAGAUUACAGAUUGUACAGAAACAUCUGAUGUCUACAAAUGCCAAUCUGGAAAAGGAAGUGAUCUUGACAAAGUCUGGAUCUGCUGGAAUAAUCACAUUAAAUCGGCCAAAGGCCCUUAACGCUCUGAACCUUUCCAUGAUCAGACAGAUCUAUCCCCAG